Molecule: long non-coding RNA, 7109 nt
Filed under: Sus scrofa (pig)
Lineage: Eukaryota; Metazoa; Chordata; Mammalia; Artiodactyla; Suidae
Description: lncRNA (ENSSSCG00055020107.1)
Source: RNAcentral
GAUGUCCCCUUCUUGGGGGGCUUAAAUGAAUGCAGUUCCUUUCCCUCACUUUCCAUCCUCAGGGAUAAGUAAACUUGCAAUCUUUGUGUUUCAGGGUAAUGGGGAGAUGGACGGAGUUGUUGGUAUGAGGGAUCAAGCUGUUCUAUUCAGGAGGGAAUGAAGAGUGAUGAGAAGAGAUGCUGCUCAAGCUGCUCAGAGCCUAGAGGGGAGACCUGAGACCUUAAAGAAGCAGACAGAAGGAGGAAGGGAGGAUCACGGGCCUUUCGUCGGUUCUACACGGUGUCACUUUACGGCAGAUUUCACGUGGGUGGCAGAGCUGAGCCUUUGCCGCGUGUUCCAGCUCCCAACUCCAUCCCUUUCUGGAUUCCCUGCUGGACACGUUCUUUCCUCUGGGACUAGCACACUUGGAUUUGGCUCAGUUCCUUCUGGAAGCCGAAGAUGAGCAGGAAGGGAGGAUCACGGGCCUUUCGUCGGUUCUACACGGUGUCACUUUACGGCAGAUUUCACGUGGGUGGCAGAGCUGAGCCUUUGCCGCGUGUUCCAGCUCCCAACUCCAUCCCUUUCUGGAUUCCCUGCUGGACACGUUCUUUCCUCUGGGACUAGCACACUUGGAUUUGUCUCAGUUCCUUCUGGAAGCUGAAGAUGAGCAGGUAAGUUCCCUUUCCACUUCUGGGCAUUUACCUGGUCCUGGAUAGUUGUGACCCAGUGCUCAGUCUGGCAUUUUUGGUUUGCCUGCUCAGGUUUCUUUUUGUGUUUGAUGUUGAGAUUUUGAAGUUUGCCUUUUCUGUGCCGGUGAGUCUAGUGUCCUGGGUCUGGCAUUCCCGAGCCUAACUUCAAAUACACAGGCUACCUUCUUCUCCUGCUUCUUUUCCAAGCAUGGCUUAUUAAUUCAGCUGAACAAUGUUGUUGCUAUUUCUAUUGACUGUAAGGUGAUGUGAGAGGCGGGGCUAUGGUGAUAAGGGGGUGGAGCCAUGGUGAUGAGGGAGAUGGAAAAGUCAAGAGAUUGAAAAGUCAAGAGUUGAGUCUCAUCCUUGCUCUUACGUCUCCUGAAAUUCUGGAUCAAGACCCUCAGAGUGUAGUAGUAACCAGCCUGAAAGUGCCUGUUACUCUUUUGAAAACCAUCGGCAUUGUUUUGGGGCCUGCCAGACUCUGAGGAAUGCAUCUCCAAGUCAGUUUUUUUUUUUUUUUUUUUAGAAUGUAAAACAUAUUUUCUUGUGAAUGGCAGUUCUAUGAAAACUGAUUAAGAUUCUUGACUGUUCUUCAAAAUCUUUUAAAAUGCUAGGAAGUAAGUAAACAGGAGUUUGUUAAAUUAUUUUCUGUUUUUGUUUUUUUUUGGUAUGUUUGAAAUAUUUCAUAUGUAAAAAUAAAAUAAUUCAAUUUAAUGCAUAAUAUUCUGACCUCCGUGCAUCCUGGGAAGAGGGUCAAUAGAGAUGAGGGAGGGGAAGUUAAGGAAGGAAGACAAUUCUCUUUCUCUUGAUUUGUUUUGGGCACAACUUUGAAACAGGGUAGCUAUGUCCCUGGCUUUUUCAUGCUUUCCCUUCUGCAACCUCACCUGCCUCUCACUUCAUCCAGGGUGACAGUCCCAUUCCAGGCAGCCCUUGAACACUGUACUUUCCAAAUGUUCUCUGCCUUCAAAAUUGGGGUGUGGCUAGAAGUGUUUAGAAAGUGCUUCAAUUAUCUAUUGAUGCUCAAUAAAUUGUCUUGAAAUGUGGUGUCUUAAAACAGCUAUUUUAUUUGGUCACACCCUAUGGGUCAGGGAAGUAGGAUAGGGCAUAUGGGGAUAGAUGGUUGACAGUCUGUGUGUGAUCCAUGAUGUCUGGUCAGGAAAAGUUUAACAUUGAACAUAGUGAUUAGGAAUGUGGGGAUAUGGGAUCAGAUUGCUGGGGCCCAAAUCCUAGUUUUUCCAUGUAUUAGCUGAUGAAAUAAUGAUAAUCAUAGCCACUAACCUCAUAUGAGUAUUGUCUUCAAGUUGACUUUCAGGUGCAUUCUAGUAUUUAGUCUAGAUUGCCCAACUCUGCUGAUAAUGGUGGUAUUGUUAUAUUAUCAUUGCCAUUUACACUUAACCUUGAAAACUCAGCCUAGGCAUAUACAGGCAAGUUCUGGGGUUAGGCUGUUAAGGUCUCACAUGGGAAGGAUAAGCAUUUUGUCCUGUAGACAAAGAGGAAUUUCCAGCUGGGGAAUGACAGGAUCAAGCCCCUUCUCCCUCCCUUGUUCCUGCUCCCUCUGCCCUUUCUUCCUCAUUUCCUCUUCUCUCCCCACUUUAAAACGAUGACAGUAUGUUCAAGUUGUGCAAAUCAAAGGAAUAGAUUAGAAACAGGAGAAUAAAUGUGCUUAGCAGACCCAGGAAAUCUCCAGGGGAUUGGAAUUGAUUACCCAGCAUGUAAUAUACAAAACCAUCAUUUUUCUGCAUGUGGUGAACAAUGGUGAACAAUGGAAGUGAAGUAACUCCCCACUCCAGUCCCCCUAAUCUGAUGGAAUUUUCUCAGUAAUGUUGUGGAGUCAUAGGGGUGAGCAUGCACCAACUGGGCCAAUUCCCACUGGCCUUUAUUUUCUGGAAGGGUUGGCAGCAGAGGAAGACCAGAACCUUUUCCAGUGCACAUACCUACUUUAAUAUGGAGAGGAUUCUGCCUGUCCUGGGAGAUGCUGCGACCUUGGGAAGUUGUGUGGAUGAAAAGAUACAUGCUUUAUAUCAGACUUAAAAAAUAUAUCCUGUUAUCUUUCACCAUGUAAGGAAGGACUUCUUUACAUGGGAUCUGUGUGAACCCCAUAUGGUCCCAUUGUCAUCUGGGGUGGUCCUGGUAUUGGACUUCACUGGAUCCAACAGGGCCAAAUUUACUUCAGUAAUUGGAAAAUCUUGACUGUAUGAUGGGUGCAGGUUAGAGAAUGUUAGGCAGUCAUAAGCUUCAGAGUUUGUUUUGUAGUUCCUUUUAGUUUCAGUUGAGAUUGGCCAUAAGAACUUCGCUUUUCAUGGGUUCAAGUAACCAUGGGGCUGAAUUUCACUUAGUACUCAUCUUUUUUUUUGAUUCUGAAGGUUGGAUUUAUUUGAAUAAAGGGACAAGGGUAACAUGAGCUGCCAACCUAUAUGACGUUUUUGCAUGUAGUAGAAAAAAGCACUCUUUUAUGGCAUAUGUAGCACAUCAAAGUCAUGACUUAGGAGCAAGCAUGGCUAUAUUUUAGCCCCCUAGUUAUCUCCUGAAGGGAGAGUCUAUGCAAUGCCCAACUCACACGUCCAAAUGUGGCAGCCUUGUGUGAAGGGAAAGUAUAUAAUAAUAGGCUGACUUAGUAAUUCAGAAGUGUGCCUGAGUUUGGGACAUCCUUUCUGAUUCAGUAGGUUUUGAUUAGUGGCUUAGAGUUUCUGAUUUAGUAGGUCUGAGGUAGGGCCCAAGAAUUUGGAUUUCUAGUAGGUUCCUAAGUGAUGCCAGUAACCCUGGCCUGGGAGUUACAUUUCGAGCACCACUUCUGUGGGGUGUAAUUCCAUGACCCAGAUUUCCUCACUUCCAGGUGCUAGUUACCUGAUUUGCUCAUCAAACUCAAAUAUGCUUCUUUAUACAGUGGUGUAGGUUGGUCCCAAAUAUAUGGCUUCACUGGAACUUUCUGGAAGAGGAUUCUUCUAGCUGUUUUCCUAGCACUUCCCUGUACUCUAGAAGGCCAUUGAUAAAUUUGGGUCUGUGGCACCUCAACCAGCUCAGCCAUCAGCAUCAGAGUAGAGUUGAACCAGUUCUCCUUUUCUAGACCCUUUGUAUCCUUCAUAAUUCUCUCCUGGAGUAUUGCUUCUUGGACUCAAAUGUCGCGUGCUUGAUUUUAGUCUAGAGAUUUAUUUUUAUAUAGUCUGGAGAAAACAGUGCUAUUUUUUGUCAUCUAAGUGCAAAAAACAAAACAAAACUUAGUGUACUAGGAAAUUAUGCAGAGACAGUUUAAUACUUGGACAACUUAAAACACGUGUGCGCAUGCACAGGGGCUUUCUCAGAGACAUCACUGAGUGAAUAAUAGGCUGCCUGGGCCCUUACAGCAGAGCCAAUGAAAUUUAGUUUUGCUCGAGUUUGGUUAUUGGUGUUAUGAUGCUCCCUCUGGGCCAUCAAGGAGUGAAACUGGAGCGCUCAUUUUUGGAGCUGUUGAAGUUUCAAGCUCCUUUGAGGUAUUGGCAGUGGGCUUGGCAUGCUUUCAGAUGUGGAUGGCUUUCCCACUAAUACCUCGCAGGCCCAUGGGACAUUUUUUUAAAAGUUUGAGCACCAAGUCAACCCAUCUCCUUAGUGGCAGUAGUUGCUUUAUCUGUGAGAAUAACUGUCCUUCUUAGCUUCUCAAUUUGUCACCUGUGCAGUGAUUUAUUACCUUCCAAAGCUGCAGUAAUUAUAUAAUGAUGCAAAAAUAAUGACAAGCCAUUCUGAUAAACUUUAUUACCUGUAGCAUCUUGUAUUCAAACUGCAUUCUAGCACACUCUGUAGGAUUACCAAGCACCCCUACAUGUGUGACAGCCAGCAGGGAGGGCGGCUUCUCAGGUCUGAGAGGAAAAGAGGAAAAGAAACAGGAUUCAAGCUUCCUGAACAGAGGCUGGGAAGAAUUGGGCUGGGGUGAGUUGAUUCCCAUUUGGGGCACAGGCCAAAUGGACUUAUCUCCAUUUUUAUCCCAACAAUUCAGUAUUCACUUGCCUAUUUUAAAUUGGGGCUAUAGAAUUGGCUCUUUAAACAAUCUUCAAUGAAAUAUAUAGUCAAAAGAAUGUAUAUAAAUGAUGUGCAGUUGAACUCUUAUUUUUAUCUUGAACCCGCACCUUUAGAGCCUCUCCUUUUUAUCAGAUGACAAAGUUUCCCCUGGAGCUGUGUUGCGAGGCACUGUCCAGUGUUCUAGUCUUGAGAGUGAAGGACUCAAGAAGGCUGACGUACAAAGUAACUUUCAGAUUUGCUUCUCAUUUUGGAAAAAUAUCUGAACUUAAAAUAUCUUUCAUGGGGAAUUGAGAACUGAGAUACAAAAUCAUAAUGUGGCUGGUAAGAGAGUUCUUUUAGUAAAUGCAGCUUGCCUAAUUUGGGUCUGUGGUUGGAGGGUCAGGUCUUCAAUUAUUUUCCUGAACCGAGGAGUAAUGCAGUCCCUAUAGCUGACUGUGGAGGCCAGGAUAAUGGAUAGGGGUCCUGUGCUGUCUUCCAUCUCCUUCCUGAUGACCAGCCAGUGACCUCAGGCAAUGCUUGUUUCUUUUAUGAUGGAUUCUCCUGGGAUUGUACCAGGGGGCUUAGGCCAGGCCUGUGUCCAGAGUUGGGCGGAGGUGCUUAAAAAUGAGGAAAAGUCAUGAUUAUAUCAGAGUACAGAUGAUUCCAGUACUACCAGUGCCCACAUUUCUCAUCUUGACAGGCUCUUAGUUGGAUUACAUUUCCUAGCCUCUUUUAUAGUUAGAUGGGAACAUGUGACCUAUUCUGACCAAUAGAAUGUAGGUAUUUCCAGGACCGGCCAUAAAUCUCCCAAGCGUGGCUCUCCCUUCUCUUUUUCUACCGCCUGACACCAGAGAAGGACUAUGUAAGACAGAAGAACUGUAGAUGGAAGUGGCCUUAGAAGUUGAGUUACUUCUUAAAGGAGAGACUCCUAGGAGUCCACAGAACUGUAAUGUGAAAGAGAAAUCUUUUUUUGUGUUAAAACAUUGAAGUUCCAGGGUCAACUUGUUAGUCUAGCAUAAUUUACCCUGUUCUGACUUCUUGGCUCUGAGAAUCUGUCUUUCUAGGGUCACAUCUGCUAGGGGUUGAAUUGGAGCUGUAGCUGCCAGGCCACAGCAACGCUGGGUCCCUAACCCACUGAGAAAGGCCACGGAUUUAACCCACAUCCUCAUGGAUACUAGUGGCGUUCAUUAUGGCCUAGGUCUUUCUGAUUGGCCAAGGCUGUGCUUUCUUCUUCUGAGUUCUCAAAAUUGGGAAGUAUCUCAGCAUGAGAAUGGUGAUUUGAACCCUGGAGAGUCCAGAUCUGUAGAUGCUGUCAGGGAGGUGGUGGUUUCAAGGCAAGGGCUAGGCAGGGCUUCUCAGUCUUGGCACUAUUGACAGUGGGGCCGGAUGGUUCUUAGUGGUGGGGACAGACUGGACAUUGUGAGAUGCUUAGCAGCAUCCCUGCUAGAUACCAAUAGUGCUUUCCACCUCCCUACAAAUUAUGACCAUCAAAAUAUCUCAAGACGUUAUUAAAGGUCCCUGGGGGAAGGGGGAAAAUCACCCUUAGUUGAGAACCACUGGUCUAGACAAAGGCAAAUCCCCAGCUUUAGACCUCAGGAGCACGAGUUUUCCUCUCUGCUUUUCCCUACUUCAUAUCAUGGAUUGAAGCAGUCUUUGCUUCCUCAUAAUACAUGAGGACCAGAGCUGGCGUUUUUUGCCAUUUGAGACUCUCCAGGAGUGGAGCACAUCAUCUCCACUGGCUUCCUUCCUUCCCUCAUAUUAGUAUCUGUAGCUGCAAAACAAAUUCCUUCAAAACUUAGUGGCUUAAAGCAACAAUAACUUACUAUAUUGCAGUUUCUGUGGGUCGGGAAUUUACAAAUAGCUUUGGUGGGUAGCUCUGGCCGAGGGUCUCACAUGUGGUUGCAGUCAAAAUGUUGGCGGCAGUCCAGUCCUCUGAAAGCUUGAUUGGGGAUGGAGAAAUUUGUUUCCAAAAUGGUCCCUCAGGUGGUUGUGGGCAGGAGACCUCAGUUCCUCACCAUGUAGGCUUCUGCAAAGUCUUCCUGGGCAUCCUUACAACGUGACAGCUGAUAAGAGCAAGUGGUUCAAUAGAAAGAGAAAAUGAGGAAGAAGCCUUGGGAUCUUUUAUGAUCUGAAGUCACACGCCACCACUUCUGCUUUUCUAUAGUCACUCAAAGCAAAUCACUAAGUUGGGCACCUGUUCCAGAGAAGGAGAAUUGGCCUCCACCUCUUGGAGGGAGGAGUGAAAAAGGAUGUGUGGACAUAUUUUGAAACUAUCACAUCCAGUACCAAGCUUUCUUUGCUUAGCUACACUGGGCUACUCUCCAACCCUUGACACAUGAGGUGUAUUCUUAGAUUUUGAACUCCCCCUACAGUACUUUUGCCCAAUCUUCCAGAUUUCCAAUUCUCACUGGACUGUAGCAUUACCCAGGAGUUACCUUUGGAAAAGAUCUGAUGAACUCAUUCAGGCAGGUU